UACGUAGGGGGCAAGCGUUGUCCGGAAUCAUUGGGCGUAAAGAGCGCGUAGGCGGUCCGGUAAGUCCGCUCUGAAAGUCCGGGGCUCAACCCCGGGAGGCGGGCGGAUACUGUCGGGCUCGAGUCCGGAAGAGGCGAGUGGAAUUCCUGGUGUAGCGGUGAAAUGCGCAGAUAUCAGGAGGAACACCAAUGGCGAAGGCAGCUCGCUGGGACGUGACUGACGCUGAGACGCGAAAGCGUGGGGAGCAAACAGG
This 253-nucleotide ribosomal RNA is filed under the name uncultured bacterium. Its description in RNAcentral is "partial 16S ribosomal RNA". It matches the Rfam family "Bacterial small subunit ribosomal RNA", at positions 524 to 776 of the family's 1533-position model. The record is from RNAcentral.